GGGGCUGACCGGUUUUGACAGCGUGUAGAAGCGGUGUGUAAGCAUGCAGAGCGAUUCGGUGCCUACGCUCUUUAAUCUGAGACAUCGGAAAUUCAAAUGGCGAAAACAACUACGCUCUCGCUGCCUGAUUGAAGCACAGUAAAUCGGCUUUAUCUCCGCAACAGUUGCGGAGACGAGACAUCGCCCGAUUGUCGUCGUCCCGAGACUAAUCGACAAGGCGGUGCAGCUAAAUCGGGAAUAGGCCCUCCCCUGCCUUGCGGGAGAGCUGAAAAUUUAGAGGCUAAGGAUGAGGAUUGGGCGUCGCCGCCCGGCCUCCUCACGACAACAAAUCGGCGAAUAAGCAUGUAGAAAGCAUUCUGAUUCCGCGUUUGGACGAGGGUUCGAAUCCCUCCAGCUCCACUC
This 402-nucleotide transfer-messenger RNA is filed under the name Paramuribaculum sp. It matches the Rfam family "transfer-messenger RNA". Rfam says of the family: Bacterial tmRNA, also known as 10Sa RNA or SsrA, is named for its dual tRNA and mRNA-like properties. The record is from RNAcentral. Lineage: Bacteria; Pseudomonadati; Bacteroidota; Bacteroidia; Bacteroidales; Muribaculaceae.